Long non-coding RNA from Oncorhynchus tshawytscha (Chinook salmon), 391 nucleotides. The record is from Ensembl. NCBI's taxonomy places the organism in Eukaryota, Metazoa, Chordata, Actinopteri, Salmoniformes, Salmonidae.
GGUACAGAGUCAAUGUGGAGGCUAUAUACAGGGUAUUAAGGUACAGAGUCAAUGUGGAGGCUAUAUACAGGGUGUUAAGGUACAGAGUCAAUGUGGAGGCUAUAUACAGGGUAUUAAGGUACAGAGUCAAUGUGGAGGCUAUAUACAGGGUAUUACGGUACAGAGUCAAUGUGGAGGCUAUAUACAGGGUAUUACGGUACAGAGUCAAUGUGGAGGCUAUAUACAGGGUAUUACGGUACAGAGUCAAUGUGGAGGCUAUAUACAGGGUGUUACGGUACAGAGUCAAUGUGGAGGCUAUAUACAGGGUAUUACGGUACAGAGUCAAUGUGGAGGUUAUAUACAGGGUAUUAAGGUACAGAGUCAAUGUGGAGGCUAUAUACAGGGUGUUAGG